This 253-nucleotide ribosomal RNA is filed under the name uncultured bacterium. Its description in RNAcentral is "partial 16S ribosomal RNA". It matches the Rfam family "Bacterial small subunit ribosomal RNA", at positions 524 to 776 of the family's 1533-position model. The record is from RNAcentral.
UACGGGGGGGGCAAGCGUUGUUCGGAAUUACUGGGCGUAAAGGGCUCGUAGGCGGCCAAUUAAGUCAGACGUGAAAUCCCUCGGCUUAACCGGGGAACUGCGUCUGAUACUGGAUGGCUUGAAUCCGGGAGAGGGAUGCGGAAUUCCAGGUGUAGCGGUGAAAUGCGUAGAUAUCUGGAGGAACACCGGUGGCGAAGGCGGCUUUCUGGACAAAUACCGACGCUGAGGCACGAAAGCUAGGGGAGCAAACAGG